UAUGUGAUCGUCUCUCGCAUAUCAAUAAGCGGAGGAAAAGAAACUAACAAGGAUUCCCCUAGUAACGGCGAGUGAAGCGGGAAGAGCUCAAAUUUGGAAUCUUAAAGGGUUUCCCUUUACGAAUUGUAGUUUAAAGAAGUGUUUUCUGUUGAGGUCUUGGUAAAAGUUCUUUGGAAUAGGACAUCAUAGAGGGUGAGAAUCCCGUAUUUGACCAUUACUUUUCAACUUUGUGAUACACUUUCAAAGAGUCGGAUUGUUUGGGAAUGCAGUCCAAAAUGGGUGGUAAAUUUCAUCUAAAGCUAAAUAUUGGCGAGAGACCGAUAGCGAACAAGUACCGUGAGGGAAAGAUGAAAAGAACUUUGAAAGGAGAGUUAAACAGUACGUGAAAUUGUCAAAAGGGAAGCGUUUGACACCAGUGUUGUUUUUCUGAAAAUCAAUUAAAGAACUGUUUAUGCUAAGCUGUUUAGACUUUAUCAGCUAACUGUUUAGUUUUGAGCUUUUCUUUAAUGCACUUUUCAGUUAACAAGUCAACAUCAAUUUCUUUUGCUGUAAAAAAGCUUGAGGAAGGUGGCUUGAGAUUCGUCUUAAGUGUUUAUAGCCUCUUGCCUAUGCAGUCGGAGAGAUUGAGGUCUGCAGCGUAGAUCCUUCGGGGCUAAAUGCAUUUGUGCUAAGUUAUAGCAUUUUAUAGACAACUUGUUGACUAUGAUUUGUCUUGUAGCUUACUCGCUUAUGUUAUUUUACCUACGCUUAGGAUGUUGACUGAUAUGUAGUCGU
This 774-nucleotide ribosomal RNA is filed under the name uncultured Neocallimastigales. Its description in RNAcentral is "partial large subunit ribosomal RNA". It matches the Rfam family "Eukaryotic large subunit ribosomal RNA", at positions 24 to 643 of the family's 3401-position model. Lineage: Eukaryota; Fungi; Neocallimastigomycota; Neocallimastigomycetes; Neocallimastigales. The record is from RNAcentral.